This is a long non-coding RNA of Capsicum annuum, 2671 nucleotides long. RefSeq lists it as uncharacterized. Lineage: Eukaryota; Viridiplantae; Streptophyta; Magnoliopsida; Solanales; Solanaceae. The transcript has 6 exons. The record is from RefSeq and is a predicted model, not a curated record.
AUAUAUAUAAACAAACACAAUGAUCGGAACGUGCUAUUUUAAUUAAGGGAAAUUUAAAAGAGAUAAUUUCAAAUAUAUGCAAUAAAUAUGAUUAUGUUUUUACUUUACUACUAUAUAAAAUAGACAGUGCUUAGAACGACCAAUGGUAAGGUGUAAAUAAGCUCAAAUACAUGGACAAAUAUUAAAUAUCAAUAAAGAUAUUUUUUAGUCCAUCAACUUGUUCCAGUUGUUCAUAACUUUGGUAAUUGUUUAAUAAUUACAUAAUUGGUCGACAACUACGAUAAGUUAUUCAAUAACUGCACGAGAUUGUUCAACAACUAAUAUAAUUAUCCUAACUGCACGAGAUAGUUCAACAACUAAUAUAAUUAUCCAACAACUAUCUCAGUGGUUAAAAAAGAAUAAUUUUUUUUUUAACAAAUUUAUGGACCCACUUAUCCCUUCAAUUCCAAUUCCUUUUCAAUGUCCCCUAAGGAGAGAAGGUUCCAAUCGACGUCGCCGAACUCGAUUAUAAAGAUGGCGAUGGCGUUACUGUCGCUGGAAUGACAAAACUGGACAUGCCUCACGGUGGUAAAUCGCCGGUAAUAGGAAAUCGUAAUCCCGUUGUUUCACCGGAUUUUCUAUUUUUUCCUACUAUAUAGAAAGGUCCUUUUAUCUAAAGGACACUUCUGACAUAGGAGAAAAAGAAAGUGCCUUACAAGAUGAUCUAUGUCAAUGUUAGUAACAAGCCCAAAUGGUUCCCGAAGGUGAAUCCAGAAGGAAAAGUUCCAGUGAUCAAUUUUGGUGACAAAUGGAUCUCAGAUUCUGAUGUCAUUGUUGGGCUUCUUGAUUCUCUCUCAUUGCUCCCCCGAAUUUGCCUCUGUUUGGCGAUGCCAGAAGCAAGGCACGUAUAGUCUUGGGUGGUGAAUGGAUACACUCAAUAAGUGACAAGCCCAAAAGGUGCCUUUUAAUCUGCAUGGACCUCAUGGUGUAUCGAGGCAUCUAAAAUAUCUGCUCGAGACAAAUGGGCUAAUGCUCAACAGCCUAAGCUUUUCGUUGGGAUGAUCCUCAUUCUCAUUUUUGCUGAAGCUUUGGCUCUUUAUGGGCUUAUUGUUGCCAUUAUAUUGUCUUCCCAAGCUGGGCAAUCCAGAGCAGAGUGAAGUUGGCUUAUCAACUCUAUUCUUACUGUGGUAUACGUGCAACUUUCAGACUGGGUGGACAUGGGCCAUUGCAAAAAAGAGUUAAUAUCAACGCGAUCACUUCAAAAAUAGACGAGUCGACCUACAAAGGCCAGAUUGUUGAUAAACAACGCCUCUGAAAAACAAAGAAAAAAACCAAAAGAUAUAAACUCAUGAUACUACGGAAUGAAGAGGUAUUCCGUAUUUGUCAUUGUACUCAUUAAUACAUCCAUGUUAGUAGUUCUCUACAUUUCCAUGUCUGUUUUCUUACUUAAGAUGUUAUUAUGCCGAUGAAAUAGGAACAGGAGGAUAUUGAAUUUGAUUUUGAUUAGUUUCAAGUUUAAACAGCCCUAUAUAUAGGAGCCAUAUGUGUAAAGAUAGUCUAUAGACAAUAGACAAUAAUGAACAGAAUUAUGUCAUUCACAGGUAAAAUUUGCAACAAUCACUUGUAAAGUCCUAAUUUUCUAAUUCAAGACAUAUAACAUUUAAUAUAUUUAUCAUACUAUGAAGUUGGCAAUAGUUUUCAUUUUAGCGCUAAUUCAAUCUUGUGCUCUGGCUGGAGUUUCGUCCUGCUGCAGUUUCAUAAUUUUUUUUUUUUGACAUAGGUAACUGUGCGGUUUCAUAAAAUUGUGAUUAAUAACAUAGGAUUAAAUAAAAGAACAAAUGAAUUAUACAGUUGGAGACCAAGUGAUUGUGGGUUCUGAUUCAGUAGUAAAUACAAGAGUGUGAAUUAUACAGUUGGAGACCAAGUGAUUGUGGGUUCUGAUUCAGUAGUAAAUACAAGAGUUUAAAUCGUGACCUUCACCACUUCAAGAAAAGGUAGGACUGAUGGAAGAUGGAAAUCCUUCAUAUUUAGUAGUUAAUCUUAGGUUAAUGAUAUGUAGUAUUGUACUAUUAAUGCUAUUGUAAAUUUCAAACAUUCUAACAAAUUUCAAAAAGUUAGGGAAAAGUGUUGUGUUUCAUGUUGUGAGAUUUUUUUCCACAUCGGCAGAAACAAGGCAGCUGGAGUGAUAUAAAAUGGAAGGAGGGAGCUACUUUAUAACAUACUUACAUGGACGGGUCCAAUGGGCGAUCAUGAAGGCCCAUGGCCUUAGGUUGGUGACCUCCAUUGCACUUUGGAGGGGUGCCUGCCUAGGUCGGCCCAACUGGUUGAGCCUACGUCAUAAUUUGUGGUAACGGACGCGGACCCAACCAAUUUUAAGUCAAAAUUAUCAUGUUCCCUCAGGCCAGUUUCUUAGUGCCCUUUCGCUAACAUAACUGGCGUUUCAGUAUUGAACGUAUAGCUAAAGCCAUUGGAGAAUUCUUCUCCAAUAGGAUCCAAUCCAGAUUCCAAUGGUAAUGAGUCUUCCCAAGAGAUUUUUUCAACUUUCAAAGAUGUCAAUGUGGUUGAAGAAGAUGAAAAGUUUCAGCUUGAGCAGAGGAUUUUGAAUUUCGAAGGUGCUUUUUUUCUUGGGAUUUGUUUGUAAUAUGAACUUUGUUUUAAAAAUUUUCAUGAUCUGAACUUUCUUUCUUUCUCC